ACGGGUGAGUAACACGUGGGUAACCUACCUAUAAGACUGGGAUAACUCCGGGAAACCGGGGCUAAUACCGGAUAAUAUUUUGAACCGCAUGGUUCAAUAGUGAAAGACGGUUUCGGCUGUCACUUAUAGAUGGACCCGCGCCGUAUUAGCUAGUUGGUAAGGUAACGGCUUACCAAGGCGACGAUACGUAGCCGACCUGAGAGGGUGAUCGGCCACACUGGAACUGAGACACGGUCCAG
Molecule: ribosomal RNA, 239 nt
Filed under: uncultured Staphylococcus sp.
Lineage: Bacteria; Bacillati; Bacillota; Bacilli; Caryophanales; Staphylococcaceae
Description: partial 16S ribosomal RNA
Rfam family: Bacterial small subunit ribosomal RNA
Source: RNAcentral